CUACGGGUGGCAGCAGUGGGGAAUAUUGGACAAUGGGCGAAAGCCUGAUCCAGCAAUGCCGCGUGUGUGAAGAAGGCCUGAGGGUUGUAAAGCACUUUCAGUUAGGAAGAAAAGCAGAGUGUUAAUACCACUUUGUCUUGACGUUACUAACAGAAGAAGCACCGGCUAACUCCGUGCCAGCAGCCGCGGUAAUACGGAGGGUGCAAGCGUUAAUCGGAAUUACUGGGCGUAAAGCGCGCGUAGGCGGUUUAGUAAGUUGGAUGUGAAAGCCCUGGGCUUAACCUGGGAACUGCAUUUGAUACUGCUAGGCUAGAGUAUGGUAGAGGAAAGUGGAAUUUCAGGUGUAGCGGUGAAAUGCGUAGAUAUCUGAAGGAACAUCAGUGGCGAAGGCGACUUUCUGGACCAAUACUGACGCUGAGGUGCGAAAGCGUGGGUAGCAAACAGGAUUAGAUACCCGCGUAGUC
This 464-nucleotide ribosomal RNA is filed under the name uncultured bacterium. RNAcentral describes it as "partial 16S ribosomal RNA". It matches the Rfam family "Bacterial small subunit ribosomal RNA", at positions 339 to 795 of the family's 1533-position model. The record is from RNAcentral.